RNAcentral lists this ribosomal RNA (253 nucleotides) under uncultured bacterium. Its description in RNAcentral is "partial 16S ribosomal RNA". It matches the Rfam family "Bacterial small subunit ribosomal RNA", at positions 524 to 776 of the family's 1533-position model. The record is from RNAcentral.
UACGGAGGGGACUAGCGUUGUUCGGAAUUACUGGGCGUAAAGCGCACGUAGGCGGAUUUGUAAGUCAGGGGUGAAAUCCCGGGGCUCAACCUCGGAACUGCCUUUGAUACUGCAAAUCUCGAGUCCGGAAGAGGUGAGUGGAAUUCCUAGUGUAGAGGUGAAAUUCGUAGAUAUUCGCAAGAACACCAGUGGCGAAGGCGGCUCACUGGCCCGAUACUGACGCUGAGGCACGAAAGCGUGGGGAGCAAACAGG